CGGGGAAUGGCUUGGAACCCGGCUGGAGGCAGAUUCGCGGGUUGAUAUUGCGAUCCCCAGAAUCGCAGGUGCCCAUAAAUGUGAAUCCCGCGUAGAAUCUCACGGGCUUCAAGCGCAGAGGUUAUGGAAAAAGGAUGCGCAGUCUCGUUCUGAGGCACGAGAGGCGCAUUGACAGAAACCUCUUCAAAAGACCCCUCGUCAGUAUCACAGAGGGGCAGCAUUCUGAUCUCACCAUCCGGCAAAGUUUCACAAUGUGCGUAGCCGGUGUGGUUCUCAACUCCCUCGUAGAAUGGGAGGUUCACAUGAUCUCCGUCCUUAUCCAUUUCCAUAGGAGGAGGAGGAGUGUUCGAUCUCUCAUCGCGGCUUCGACUCGGGCCGCGUUCAAUUGGAAUGUCCUGAGUAUAGUCAAAGGGCUCAGGCACCCUUACAUCCUCCGCAGAGGGGAAGUGUAUCUUUCCUCUACCACCCAUCCCAUAAAUAUGAGGAAUGGGGGCGCUCGUGUUGUCAGGCUUGUCGGAAGAGUCCCUAGCAUAUUUAGGGUGCUUCCUCUUUCUCUUCUUUGGCCUCUCAGAUUCAUUGUCCGGCCUGUUAACAUCCACCACCUCAAUAGGUGGAAAAUCUUCAACUUCAGCCCCCGAGUUUAGGGGCAACAUCGGCGAUUUAGGUACUGAACUCGCCGAUGUUUGUGCGGAACUCGCUGAUCCCAGUGUAAUCACUCGGCGAGGUUUCUUGAAUGUGGGGACACCCCCCUUGCCUUUAAUCGACGACUUCCCAAGGGGACUCGCCGAUUUAAUUGCAAGACUCGGGGGAAUCUCGCCCAGUUCAGUAGAAGGCUCUACCACGACCAGAGCCCUCGAGUUAUCCGUCAAACUCGCCGAGUUCUUUUGGGAACUCGGCGAGCUCUCAGGAGUCAGCCCGAGCAAUUCGCGGGCAGUAGCCAAAAACCUGACGUUUUAUGGCGCGUCGACAACCGGAAUCUCCGACCCACCGCGCGAAGGCGAGGGAAUCGGAGACUCGACGGUAUCGAGCACCCCCGUCAGGCCUUCAUCGAUAUCUUCGUUCAAAAUAUCGGCGACCAGAGCUUCGGUCACCGACAUGGUCAGUCUGGGUAGAGACGGUUCGUCUGCCAUAAGUCGGCGAUUUAAAGGUAGACUCGGCGACUUGGUUCAAAGAUCUGGUGAUUGUGAUGAAAGUCGGCGAGUUAUGAAGAAGCUCGGCGACUUAGAAAGGGAUUGGGGUUUAAGCAAAAUCAGGGUAAGUGAAAUGCGGAUUAAAAUAGCCGACUCACUAUUUAUAGACCCUGGGUAAAUUGCAAAAAUUCCCCAGAGAAUCUACGAAUUACGCGAAGAAAAAUCGCUAAUUGAUCUCCAAAUCCGCAAACUCGGCGAGUCUCUCGCAAACUCGCCGAGUUUGAGCAUAAAACACGGGAUACGAGGAGGAAAUUUCCGUACUUGGAAAAUUUGCAAAUAUUUCCCAAGAUCCUAUGGAUUCUCGAAGAGAUCCGCCAGCUCAUACUAAGACUCGUCGAGUUUAUAGGAAAAUCGCCGAUCCAGGUCAGCGAACCUCUAGGUUUCUCAAAAAAUACCUCCAAUGCUAAGUCGGGCGAGUUAACAACUUAAGUCGCCGACUUAGGAUAUACACAGUAUAUUAGGGGGAAAAUCACAAGCCCCCUUCCACAACUUCAGGGGAGAGUAUCACAAGCUCUCCCGACAUGUCUAUCGCUUUGGCUAGAGAUUGUCAAACCUCAGGGGGGAAUAUCACAAGCUCUCCCGACAUUUCUAUCGCCUUGGCUAGAAAUCGUCAAAACUCAGGAGGGAGUAUCACAAACUCUCUCGACUUUUCUGUCGCUCCGGCCGAAAAUUGUCAAAAUUCGGGGGGGAGUAUCACAAGCUCUCCCGACAUUUCUAUUCGCUUUGGCUAGAGAUCGUCAAAACUCAGGGGGGAGUAUCACAAGCUCUCCCGACACUUCUGUCGCUUCGGCCGGAAAUUGUCAAAAUUCAGGGGGGAGUAUCACAAGCUCUCCCGACAUUUCUAUCGCUUUGGCUAGAGAUCGUCAAAACUCAAAGGGGAGUAUCACAAACUCUCUCGACUUUUCUGUCGCUCCGGCCGGAAAUUGUCAAAAUUCAGGAGGGAGUAUCACAAGCUCUCCCGACAUUUCUAUCGCUUUGGCUAGAGAUCGUCAACACUCAGGGGGGAGUAUCACAAGCUCUCCCGACACUUCUGUCGCUCUGGCCAGAAGUCGUCAUAUAUAAACACGGUCAGUCUGUCGCUUCGGCCAGAUUCACCGAGGAUUGGUUAAAGUAAGGAAAAGAGUAUCGCAAGAGGUAUUUUCGGUCAAUAAUCAUAUGCGUUUUCAGACUGAUCUAGUUGUUUUGCAGGAUAUUUUCUUUUGUUGUUUUGCAGAUAUUAUUCUGUCGCUUUGGCCAGAAUAUUUUUCUUUUUUGCAGGUAUUAUUCUGUCGCUUUGGCCAGAAUAAGACUCUAAUAGUGAGUCCAAGUAUCUUGUCGCAUUCUUCCUUGAUACACUAGAGAUCGUUCUGUCGCUUUGGCCUUAACGAUUCUCAACCCAUCUUGUCACUAAAAAGCCUUGAAGGGGGCCGUCGUUGCGGACUUUUAGUCGCUCUUAAUCAGAGUGGACUAUAAACAUUAGUUCUAUCGCUUCGGCUAGAACUUGGUUCUAUCGCUUCGGCUAGAACUUGGUUCUAUCGCUCUGGCAAGAACCCGAUUAUGUCGCUAAAUAGCCUUAAUCGAUUCCGUCGCUUUGGCCGGAAUUUAUCUUGUCGCUUCGGCCUCGAUAACACAGUGCAGUCGCACUUGAUCAGGGAAGGACUAUAAACAUGAGUUACCGUGGCCUGGAACUCGAUCCAUUCUUGUCGCUUUGGCCUAUGGAUUCUGAAUCAUUACGUCACUGUGGGCGGAUGAUUCGAUCUCAUCUUGUCGCUUUGGCCUUGGUGCUGGAUCAAACACUUUGAACCUUACUUGACGGGGGGGGGGUACUGGCCUGGUGGUACACCAUGUUUCUUGUGCUCUCUUCAGGGGGAAGUACUGGUGAGACAUGCCUGAUUACACCAGUCACUACCCAUCAACGCCUCUCAACAAGGACUAGGGCUCCGUCGCUAUGGCAGGACCCCCGGAGAGCUCCCACGGUGCGGAACACGUUCAUCGUCCAGAUCGCCGAGUUAGCCCGUAAGUCGCCCGAUUGGACUACCAAGUCGCCGACAUACAGGAUAACUCGCCGAGUUAAGGCAAGAUCGGCAGUAUGGUAGAAUGCACAUCUUGGCCCUAGAAACUCGCCGAGUUAGCCCUUAACUAGGCGACUUCCAUACCUGAAUCGGCGACUUACGACCGUUACUCGGCGGCAACCAACGUCAUAAAUGUUACCAUAUAUGACCAUAGGCACGAUCUCCGCCGAUGAGUGCGCCCUCCGAGACCCUAUAAAAGGGGUCCCAAGGGGACACUCAAAGGCACGAUUCAAGUUCCACUCUCACACCAGAGCACUACACUACGAAACUCGGCGAGUCUCAUUAGAAUCGCCUAGUUUCCACUUGCAGGUAUUUGACGUAGAGCGUGCGUCGUGGACUCCAAAGCCUCCGGCAUUACCUCGCACCACCGCGAGCCCUGGUAACGAAAAUCGGAAUUCCCAGAUCCGAUUUUGGGUUCUGAGACCACAUAUCACGUGAAAAAAGUUUUCUCUAUGAGUACCAAAGAGCAGAAUUUCCCAAGAGUGCCAGGAAUCUUUCCCAAGAGCAGAAUUUCCCACGGUGCGGAACAAGUGUCUACGUCAAGUACUCAAGGCAACACCUGGGAAUCGCCGUCUGAGACUACCAAGUUGCCGAUUGCAGAGGUGCAUCGUCGACUUCAGACAGGGCAAUCAGGUCUGGUAGACCGAGGACCUGACCUCAAGGGAGUCGGCGACUCCACCUCAGAAUCGGCGACUCCCAUGCGUUACUUGAGAGGGCCCACGUUAUUAUAGCACCCUUAAGUGGGUACUAUAAUGGGGUGGGCCCCACUCUAAUGAAUGGGGAAACGCCCCCAGGACCCCUAUAAAAGGGGUGUCCUCCAUUCUCACCUUCACUUGACCUACAACACUUCCCACUAGAGCAAUCCAGGAGCCCGAAUCGCUUACUCCCCAAGUGAGUCGCCAAUUCCCUCCUCUUCUGCAGGUAUUUGACGAAGAGCGCGCGUCGUGGACUCCAGAGCCUCCGGCAUUACCUCGCACCACCGCGAGCCCUGGUAACGAAAAUCGGAAUUCCUAGAUCCGAUUUUGGGUUCUGAGAUCACAUAUCACGUGAAAAAAGUUUUCUCUACGAGUACCAAAGAGCAGAAUUUCCCAAGAGUGCCAGGAAUCUUUUCUGGGAUAGGUCUAAACAGGCAUCCCUAAAACAACCUCCGGCGCCACGAUUUUCUGCCGAAAAAUUGCAAAAAAUUUGCAACAUUUUUUGCUAAUUUCAAACUUUGGGGACUGGUAGUAUUCCUCAAGGGGGCCACAAAACUGCAAAGAAAUAUCAUACAAAAAAAAUUUCUGUUUUGUGACACUCGGGGGGGUAGGUACCUACACAUAGCUUCCGACACUUCGGAAGAACUUCUACUCGUUGUCUGUUUUUUCAGCACGAUAGAAGCAACUAUCCCAUUUAUGGCUCCUAUUACUAAGGGUCAGAAGAAAGCUCUUACUACUGCUACGACGGUAAGAGCUUCUAGAAGAAGGGCUGGUUCCCGCAUUGUACCAGCCUCUAAUGCACCAUCGUCUGCACAUGAGGUGCCCUCAUCACUCCCGCUAGGAAGUGCAGCACCACCCAGACCAAGUGGGGGAAUAAACCCAACUCCCACAAUGCAGGAGAAGCUUGCACAUAUGCAUACUCUCAUGCUGAAGUUGGACCAAAGGUUGACUAACAUAGAAGAUUCAAGGAGCCGGAUCACCAUGCGAAGUGCGACAAGCGAGUCUAACCCACAUUUGAGGAAGACAAACUUAAGUACACAUCGUCGAUCUGAAUCAAGGAUAUCCAAGGAGCUUCGAGAGCUCAAGGGAAAGGGUCCUGCAAUCUCAAAACAACCCAAAUCCAACUCGCAUCACUCUCCUAAGGGAGACAACCACGGUAGAACAAAGAGACACAAGCAUCUCGGUUCUCACCACAGGUCCGAAGUACAUCACUCGGGCGUACCUUCGACUUCCACGACUCGUGCGGAUUACGAUGCCACACUCAUGAAUAGGGUAAUCAAGGAAGUGCUUCGUAAAGACAAACAUGAUCUAAGGGACCCACAUGAUUUUCUCAGAAUAGGAAAGGCACCCUUUCGUAGGGACCUCCUGAGAAAACCUUUUCCGCAAUCUUGGCGGUGUCCGAAGAUAGACUCGUACGAUGGAACAACAGAUUCAGAGGAUCAUGUCAACCUCUACCUGAAUAUCUUGGAGCCGCAAACUACUGGUAAUGGGUUGUUGUGUCGGGCCUUCCCCGACACUCUGAAAGGCAACGCGUAUCGAUGGUUUUCAAGUCUACCAGCUGGCUCAGUCACCAGCUUCGCAAACCUCUCUGCAAAGUUCAUCGCCCAACGUGUGGGGUUGAUCAGAAUAAAGCACAACGCCAAUACACUACUGGCACUGUGGCAGAGGGAUAUGUCCCUUCGGGACUACACAAUUAAGUUCACUUCGAUGAUGACAGAAGUGAAAAACUUAAUCCCAAGUCUAGCCAUAGCGGGGUACAUCAGAGGGUUGAUACCCUUCUCCCCAUUGGCUCAAAAUCUGGGGCUCCAUAAAGUGGAGACCUUAGCUGAACUCUUCCAUAGAGCUCAAUCGUACAUUGAGAUAGAAGAGGAGGACAACGACAAACUGGACGGACUCGAGCCGCCCAGUCGGAAGAAGCCUCGCUAUGCUAAAGAAGAUACAUACGAGGAUACAAGUUCCCGGUCCGAAACCUCGACUAGUCUUCGGGUAGCAGUUAUGGCUACCAAAGUCAUAGCUCACGCCCUCAAUCCGUUAGCAGUUAUGGCCAUCAAAGUCGUAGUUCACACCAUCAAUCCUGUAGCUGUUAUGACACCAAAGUCAUAACUCACACUCUCAGUCUGGUAAUAUUUAUGGCCACCAAAGCCAUAGAUUACGCUCUCAAUCCUAUGACAGUGAUGGCAACCAGAGCAACAGUUCACACUCACAAUCAAGUGCGUCACGCUAAUGGUAAGGAACUAUCAUCUGUCAGAAGAAAGAUAGGAUUGGCCAGAGUAACCAGAUAGGCUAUGCAUCCGUCAGUGGUAACCAAACAUCAAAGGACCGAACUCAUCUAUUCUUUUGGUUGUCGCUUCUAUUAUUCUCAACCAUGUAAUAGAGAUAUGAUGUCUCCUUUAACCCAUUGAGAUACUCUGCAAUAUGUAUGCCAUAUCAUAUUUAGAAUAAUCAUCCAUCACUUCAGACGGAUCAAUCACCCAUCGCUUCGGCUGGGUGACAUCCGUCGCUUCGACCUUAUCUAUCAUCUAUUCGACCCACGAGUCAAAGUGAUAGUUACGAAAUCUAAUUUACGACAGAGUCUAAAUUACGAUUACAAGUCUAGUUUACGAUUUACGAGUCCAAGGUGCGACUUAAGAAUCUAAAUUACGACUCCCACGAAUAUUUGCGAAUCAAACCCUAAGAUUCCAAAUAUUUACGAAUCUAAGUUCUCUUUCAAAAUCUAAUUUACGACAAAGAGUCUAAAUUACGAUUACAAGUCUAGUUUACGAUUUACGAGUCCAAGGUGCGACUUAAGAAUCUAAAUUACGACUCUCACGAAUAUUUGCGAAUCAAACCCUAAGAUUCCAAAUAUUUACAAAUCUAAGUUCUCUUUCAAAAUCUAAUUUACGACGUACAAGUCUAAAUUACGAUGAAAAGUGACUACACCUAUGAUUUUUUGCAAUUCUGAGUUGGUUUGGGAAUUGUCUGCGAAUCUGACUGACGGUUGAAUUACGACUCUUAAUUACAACCAAGCUUACGGCCAGAGUGCCUAAGUGGGGGUUACACAACCUAACUUACGUCCAGAGUGGCUAAGUGGGGGUUACAAAAUAUAGUUUACGACCGGAGUGUCUAAAUUACGAUUUACAAGUCUAAUUUAGGUUACGGUUCUAGGACUAUUCAUACGACAAAUCGACAAAGGAUAAUUUCAAAAAUCACUCAUACGGAUCACUCCAUUGCUUUGGCUGGAUGACACCCGUUACUCAUUCCUGGCUUACGACCCACGAGUCUAAGUGAUGGUUACAAAUUCUAAUUUACGACAAAGAGUCUAAAUUACGAUCACCAAUCUAGUUUACGGUUUACGAGUCCAAGGUGCGACUUAAGAAUCUAAAUUACGACUUUCAUUUACGAAUCUAACCCCGAGAUUCUAAAUUUACGACUACAAUCAGUGAUACCCUGGUUUUAAAUCUAUUCUGUCGCUAUGGCCUUAAUAGAGCAAGGAUCAUUUUGUCGCUUUGGCCUAAAUGAUCAUAUCCCAUCUUGUCGCUAUUGCCUUGAUGAGGAUCGAGAUUCGUUCUGUCGCUAUGGCCGGAGCUUGGCUAAAACACCAGGGUUCAAAUCUAGAAUUGUAGUCUUAAAUUGCGGGUCUAACCCUAGGAUUCCAAAUAAUAUUGUGCAUCUUAAUUUUUGGUUUAUUAUUUGUACUAUUCUUUGCAACUCUGCGUUAAUUUGGAGAUAUAAAUUAUCCGCAAAUUUAACGGACGACUGAACUACGAUUCGUACGACCAAGCUUACGUCCAGAGUGGCUAAGCGAGGGUUAGCUGAGUCUAACUUACGUCCAGAGUGGCUAAGUUACGGCUUGUGAAUCUAGUUUUGAGCCUAGGUUACAAUUUAAAGGUGGUUUAUAUGGAAGAUUGGCAAAGAAAAGACAAAAGGUAGUCCAUUGAUAAUCAAAAUAGAAAGAUUGCAAAAUAUUUCAAAAAUUCAUAUGUCACGACGACAUGAUUCUCGGGGGGAAUAUCACAAGCUCUCUCCAAUACUUCCGUUACACCAAUAUUUUAAAAUCUGUCAUGUUGACAUGAUUUUCGAGGGGAGUAUCACAAGCUCUCUUCAAUACUUCUAUCGCUUCGAGCAGAAACAUCCAAAACAUAACUCUAAAAUCUGUCACAACUGCACGAUUUCAGGGGGAGUACCACAAACUCUCUCUGCCGCUUCUGGCGCUCCGGCCGGAAGUCGUCACGCCCAUCUUUGGAGGUGAGUAUCACAAACUCUCCCGACACUUCUGUCACUUCGGACAGAAGUUGUCAUAUUUCGAGGGAGAGUAUCACAAACUCUCCCGACACUUCUGUUGCUUCGGCCAGAAGUCGUCACACUUCGAGGGGGAGUAUCACAAGCUCUCCCGACACUUCUGUCGCUUCGGCCAGAAGUCGUCAAGUUUCGGGGGGAGUAUCACAAGUACUCCCGACGCUUCUGUCGCUUUGGCCAGAAGUCGUCACAAUGCGGGGGGGAGUAUCACAAGCUCUCCCCAACACUUCUGUCGCUUCGGCCAGAGGUCAUAACAUUUCGGGAAGAGUAUCACGAACUCUCUCAUACACUUCUGUCACCUCGGCCAGAAGUUGUCACAGUUCAAGGGGGGGUAUCACAAGCUCUCCCGACACUUCUGUCGCUUCUGCCAGAAGUCAUCACAGUUCAAGGGGAGUAUCACAAGCUCUCCCGACACUUCUGUCAUUCGGUCAGAAGUCGUCACAGUUCUAGGAAGAGUAUCACAAGCUAUCCCGAUACUUCUGUCGCUUCGGCCAGAAGUCGUCACAGUUCGAGGGGGAGUAUCACAAACUCUCCCGGCACUUCUAUCGCUCCAGCCGGAAGUUGUCGAAUAUGAGCACGGUAAAUCUGUCGCUUUGGCCAGAUUAUCGAGGAUUUAUCGAGCAAGAGGAGGAGUAACACGAAAGGUAAUAAGUCAAUAUAAUAUGCGUUUUAGACUGCUGAUGUUUACUUUUUUGCAGGUGAGAUUCUAACGCUUUGGCCAGAAUCGGAUCUAUUUUGUUGCUUUGGCCAUAAUAGAUCCAGGUCCAUUUUGUCACUUUGGCCUUAAUGGACCAAAAAUUAUUUUGUCGCUUUGGCCCUAAUAAUUCUUCUAUCUUGUCGUUGUGGCCUUGAUAGACUUGGAGAUCAUUUUGACGCUUUGACCUUAAUGAUCUCGACCCACUUUGUCGCUUCGGCCUUGGUGGGGUAACCGUCGUUGCGGACACAAAAGUCGCUCUUGAUCAGGGUUGACUAUAAACAUUAAUUCUAUCGCUUUGGCUAGAACUAAAUUCUGUCGCUUUGGCCAGAAUCAAAUCCAUUUUGUCGAUUUGGCCUUAAUGGACCGGGAAUUAUUUUGUCGCUUUGGCCUUAAUAUUUCUCCCAUCUUGUCGAUUCGGCCUUGAUGACACAACAAAAGUCGCCCUUGAUCAGGGUUGGACUAUGGUGAGACAUGCCUGAUUACGUCAGUCACUCUCAGCAACGCCCUUCAAACAAGAAAUAGGGUUCCGUCGCUAUAUGCCGGACCCCCGGAAGGCUUCCACGGUGCAGAGCAUGUGUAUACGUCAAGAGCCCAAGGCAACACUUGAGAUUCGCCGACUGGGACUAUCAAGUCGCCGACUCCAUAGGUGUAUCGCCGAUUCCGGCCAGGGGACUCAGGUCUGGUAGACCGAGAACUGGGCUUCAAAGGAAUCGGCGACUCCACCUCUGGAUCGGCGACUCCCACACCUGAGUCACCGACUCCCAGCCGUUACGCGGGCGGGCCCACACCAUUAUGACACCCUUCAAUAGGAUAUCAUAAUGGGGUGGGCCCCACUCAAUUGAAUGGAAACGCCUCUAGGACCCUAUAAAAGGGGUCCUAGGGGUGUCCUCCAUCCAUAUCUUCUUCACUUGACUCACACUCCACACUAGAGCAUCCAGGAGCCUGGAUCGCCUACUCCCAAGUUAGUCGCCGAUUCCCCUCCUCUUCUGCAGGUGUUUGACGUAGAGCGCGCGUCGUGGACUCCACAGCCUCCGGCCCAUCUCGCCACCCCGCGAGCCCACUGGUAGUAGAUUCCGUGCUUCAUCAGCUGGCGCCGUCUGUGGGACUAUCGAACCACGAUAUCCCAUCGUAAUUGCGAAAUUUUCUUCGCAAAGUUCAGCUCGAUUCCCCUAGGGUGAGUCGCUAACUUUAUGUCAAGGAAUCGUCGAUUCACACAGGCAAUCGCCGACUCCACCUAGUGAGUCUCCAAUUGCGGGUUAUUCUGCUAGCUAAGAGUACUGUCCAUGGCCAGACUCGAAAGAAGAGCUACCUAAAGCAGUCACCGAUUCUACUAGUGUACGUCGCCGAUUCCACCGUUGUGAAUCGCCGACACCCAUAGUGAAUCGUCGACUCCACUUGGUUCUUUCUCUCGGGUUAGUUCUAGCAAGCACUUGCGCUCUAGUUGGAACACGCUUUUGUCUACAAUGACCUCCGAAAGGCAAAAGCACGACUACCAUCUGAGGACCAAAGGCAAAUCCUCAAUAGUAGCUGACAGGGCUCAGACUGACCCUCCUCAAGAAAACAGGCAGGAAAGGCCUGAGGAACCUCAAGCCAGUCUGCGCCCUCAAACAUCCAUCCCUCCCGCUUUAGAAGAGAGGUUGGUCAAAUUCAUGGAUAACAUGGAACAAAGGGUCAACAACCUCGAGAAAGCAAGGAGCCAGAGGACCGUUUCCCGCGAAGGAGCGGGUGAAUCAGCCUCUCAUAAUUCUCCAUCUGGGGAGAAAAAGAAGGAUGGUCCAGAGCCUUCAAAAUCAAAGGCUGGACCUAGUAAGAGUCACACUGAAAAGACUCUUACAACACGGUUUGUGGAAGACCUUCGUCGGAAGUUGGCAGGCAACCCAGCCGCCAGCGGUCCGAUGGAAUUUUUGAGAAUCAAAAGUGCUCCUUUUCGAGAGGACCUUUUGAAGGUAUCUUUUCCGCAAACCUGGCGGGUACCAAGGAUAGAAGCGUACGAUGGUUCGGGUGAUCCAAGAGAUCACAUCAACCUCUACCUUAGUGUCUUGGAACCGCAAACCAUCGAUAACGCAUUGUUGUGCCGGGCAUUCCCUGGCACUCUCAAGGGAAGUGCCUAUCGAUGGUUCUCCGGUCUACCAGCUGGGUCAAUCUCCAGUUUUACGGACCUCUCAUCCAAAUUCAUCGCCCAACACGUGAUGAUGAUUAGGAUCAAACACAGUGCCAACGCACUGCUGGCACUACGACAGAACAAGCUGUCGUUGAGGGAUUACACUAUCAAGUUUACUUCAAUGAUGACAGAAGUGAGCGAUUUAAUCCCAAGUCUGGCCAUAGCGGGAUACACAAAAGGGCUAGUACCCUACUCCCCUCUGGCCCAGCAUCUCACUCUCCAUAAGGUGGAAACUCUACCUGACCUCUUCCAGCAAGCCCAAUCGUUUAUUGAGGUGGAAGAGCAGAAUGAGAAUAAGCUAGUGGAACUUGAGAACACUAGCUUCAAAAAACCAAAGUUCGAGAAAAAGAGCUACGGCGGAAAAAACAGUUUCCGAGGCUCUUCGAACAAAUACACUGACAAUGCGGCUAGUUCCUACAAAACAGUCUCAAAGGGUGAACUUGGAAACUUCGUCAAGGGAUCCCGAAGACGAGACGGUUGUAAAACUGACCCGAAGGGGAAGCGUCCACGCUCUCCUUCGCCGGACAGCGACAGUAGCGAGGAUCGCCAACGGAAAACCAUCAAUAUGAUAUUUGGUGGUGGAUCCGUUGGUCAGAACAGAGGUUACUCCCGGAAGGUGCUGAUGUCACAGUCUACACCUCGCGACAAUGGGAAAAGGGCUCGGGAAGAGAAGUCCACUUACUUCUCCGAAGAGGACCUGGACGAUGUCCUGCUACCCCACGAGGAUCCACUCAUGAUCCAAGCAGACAUCGGUCCAACAUCCCGUGUCGAGAGGAUGAUUGUCGACAGCGGCAGUUCCGCGGACAUCCUCUACAUGGACACCUUCAUCAAAAUGGGCCUUAGAAGGAGGAUCUGUCUCCUUGCAAGGAAGCCAUUUACGGAUUUACUAACGUCGCCGCCCCAGUGGCCGACGUUAUUGACUUGAAGGUCUCCAUCGGAUCCCGAAAGGGAAGGGUUAGUCGAACAUGCCAUUUCAUAGUGGUGGAAGUGGAAUCCACUUUUCUAGGCAUCUUUGGACGACCCUUCAUCCACGGGAUCAAAGCUGUCCCAUCUUCUUAUCACCAAUGCAUAUGAUACCCAAUCAACGGGAUCAUUGCAACUGUCAAAGGAUCACAAAAGGAUUCUAGACAAGGGUAUAAAAAGGCAACUCAGCUGGUUAAACUAAACAGUAUGCUCGUCCACGCCCCACCUGACAACGGGGAAAGGGAAAAAUUGCAACCCGUGGAUGAGACUAAAAUGUACCAGCUGAAAGGGGGGCACGUGGCAUUAAGGAAAGGGUUAGACCCCAACCUAAGAGCCAAGCUUGUGACUGUCCUGGAGGAGCACCAGGACAGGUUCGUUUGGGAGGGUGAGGCUCCGACACAGAUUGCGCGUCAAAUCGUGACGCACAAACUUAAUGUCGACCCAUCUAUCCCAGCUCGUCGCCAAAAGCGUCGAGUGCUCACCUCUGACAGGCGGGAGGCCGCCAACGAAGAGAUAUCGAAACUUCUGAGUGCCGGGCACAUUCGAGAAGUUCGAUAUCCAACUUGGUUGGCCAACCCCAUUCUCGUCAAGAAGCCCAAUGGCAAGUGGCGUAUGUGCAUUGAUUUCACAGAUCUCAAUAAAGCAUGCCCCAAGGACAGUUACCCGCUCCCAUCCAUCGACGAGUUAUUCGACAGAGCGUCUGAUAACGAACUCCUCUCCAUGAUGGAUGCCCACUCAGGAUAUAACCAAAUCCUGAUGCAUGAGCCUGAUGAAGAGAAAACAUCCUUCAUUACGGACUCAGGGACAUUCUGUUAUCGAGUAAUGCCAUUCGGCCUAAGGAAUGCUGGAGCUACAUUCCAACGCUUAAUGGACAAGGUUUUCGCGGACCAGAUCGGGCGCAAUGUUUCCGCUUAUGUUGAUGACAUCUUGGUCAAAUCAACAAGCGUCGAAAAGCACCCCGAGGAUCUGAGAAAAACCCUUAGGACAUUAAAGCAAUACGGAAUGAAGCUUAAUCCAAAUAAGUGUUCCUUCGGGAUCAAGGAAGGUAAGUUCCUUGGUUUCUACGUGGUUCAGCACGGGAUUAAACCAAAUCCCGACAAAAUCCAAGCGAUAUUCGAUAUGGAAGCCCCCCGCACAAUUAGAGAAGUACAAAGGUUGAACGGGCGAAUCAAUGCACUCAGUCGUUUCAUAUCGCAAACGGCUGACAAAUGCAAACCGUUCUUCCAACUACUAAAAACUGCGGCUAAGGGUAGUAUCACUUGGACACCGGAAUGCGAGGAGGCUUUUACCAUGUUAAAAGCACACAUGUCCUCUCUUCCAAUGCUGACCUCACCUAGGGAUGGGGAAGACCUGUACUUAUACAUAGAAGCCUCAGAAGAGGCCGUAAGUGCAGUCCUUAUCGCACAAAGAGAUAAGGAACAAGUCCCCAUCUACUAUCACUCGAGGCGACUACAAGGAGCAGAGAUACGAAUUUCUCCGAUUGAGAAAAUCGUAUACGCUGUAAUCCAUGCUUGUCGUCGCUUUCGAGCGUAUUUCUUAGCGCAUACGAUUGUAGUACUUACAUCGUGUCCCCUACGCCGUCUACUCCACAAGCCAGACAUAUCGGGUAGGUUAACCAAAUGGGUCAUUGAGCUCAGUGAGUUCGAUUUGGAUUUCCGACCAGCCACUGCCAUCAAGGGGCAAGCUGUGGCAGAUUUCAUGGUCGAACUCACACCAUCGAACCUAGCCCAACCAUGAACUGUGGAAGUAGACGGGUCGAGUUGCAGCACAGGUUCAGGUAUCGGAGUGAAAAUCCAUAGUCCAGAUGGAAAAAACUAUGAACACUCGAUACGGCUCCACUUCUCGGCAUCAAACAAUGUCGCGGAAUACGAAGCAACCAUUCAUGGCCUAAAACUGUUGCGAACUCUCGGCGCUGAGAAAGUCACGCUUCGCACUGACUCCCAGCUCGUGGCUCGACAAACCACGGGUGAGUUCGCCUGCAAAGAACCACAGAUCACAAAAUAUGUGGAAACCAUGGUAGAACUCACCAAACAAUUCGCUGAGUUUAAAAUUGAGCAAAUUCCUCGAACUCAGAACACACCAGCCGAUGCUCUAGCAAGGCUAGCAUCAGCCUGGGAGGGAGGCCAGCGUGAAAUAUUGGUAGACUCUGUACUCCAGCCCUCGUGCCAGGUAUUGAAUGUCACAUCCGACCCCUCAAAAGAUUGGAGACAACUAAUACUGGCAUUCAUUCAAAGUGGUGUACUUUCCGAUAAUAGGGGUGAGGCCAAAAAGUUGCAACACAAAGCAGCCAAGUACGGCGAAGUCGGAGGGGUACUUUAUAAAAAGUCCUUCGACAGCCCGUUGUUACGCUGUUUGGCCAAACCCGAUACUGAUAAGGUCAUUAAGGAAGUACACGAAGGCUCGUGCGGACUCCAUGAGGGAGGAAGAGCACUAGCCUUCAAAAUCAUACAGCUGGGGUAUUAUUGGCCCACAUUACGGUUAGAAGCUCGCACUUAUGUCCGCAAGUGCCGUGCAUGCCAGUUGCAUAGCCCAAUGCAACAAAAACCAUCCGCGGACAUGACUCCGAUCUUGAGCUCGAUACCAUUUGCAAGGUGGGGACUGGACAUCGUAGGACCAUUCCCGCCUUCAACAUCCCAAGCUCAAUUCAUUUUCGUGGCAGUUGAUUACUUCACAAAAUGGGUUGAGGCUCAGGCUGUAGCAAAGAUCACUCAAGAUGCGGCAGUCAAAUUCGUGUAUCGCUCCAUAGUAUGCCGAUUCGGAGUUCCCCAACACAUUGUCAUAGACAAUGGUACCCAAUUCACAGGGGGGAAGAUUUCGAGAAUGUGCGAAGACCUAAGUACAAAACUCCACUUUACUUCCGUUUACCGACCACAGGCAAACGGACAAGUGGAGGUGACCAACAAGGCCAUCGUACAAGGGCUCAAAAAGAAAAUCGAAUCGGCAAAAGGGGGCGGAUAAGUUGUGCGAAAUACUAUGGGCAUAUCGCACAAUUAGUAAAAAUCCCACAGGAAACACCCCCUUCUCUAUGACAUAUGGAGUAGAGGUUGUCGUACCAAUCGAGAUGAGUAUACUAACGUACAGGAUCUCGAAGUACGACGAGCAAAACAAUGACCAAAACCUAGCUACAGAGUUAGAGUUGAGGGAUGAAACCCGCGACGAGGCAGACCUGCGUAAUGAAUUGUACAAGGCCAGCGUAUCAUUUUGUCGCUCCGGCCUUAAUAGAUCAAAAUUGUUUUUUCGUUAUGGCCUUAACAAUUUAACGUCAUCUUGUCUCUAUGGCCUCGAUGAAAGUUCAGGUCACUCUGUCGCUUCGGCCAGAGGUGAACUACAAGGGUAUAAGUCACAGGAAUACACAUAAAACCCUAGGAUCCUUUACAUCACUCAUAAAUUAGGGUUUCCGAACUAGUCUAUUUUGCCGCUUUGGCCUCCAUAGACUAGAAAUCGUUUUGUCGCUACGGCCAUAAAGAUCCAACCUCAUCUUGUCGCUAUGGCCUCGAUGAAGGUAAACAAUCACUCCGUCGCUACGGCCGGAGAAAAACUACAACUCUAGAGUCUUAAGGUUCAUCGUAUUCUUUUUGUUAUCUUUCGAUAUGUUUGUUAUCUUUUGAAUUUGUUAAUCGAUAUUGCGAGUUACUAUUAGUUGUGAAGUUUAAUUUAUUUUUGCGAACUUAACCGUAGACUGAGCUACGAUUCGUACGACCAAGUCUACGCCCAGAGUGGCUAGCGAUAGGGUUAGUCUAAUUUACGUCCAGAGCGGCUAAAUUACGACUCGCGAAUCUAGUUUCGGAUCUUAGUUACAACUCAAAAGAAUAAAGUAAAUGAACAAUUAAAUAGAAAAGGCUAAGACGAUUAAUUCAUUAAAAAGAAGUUCAAAGAUUAAAAAAAGAUAACAAUCACAAUUGUACAUAAAACUAAGGACUUAGAAGAUCUAAUCUUGGGCAGCUUCGUCCUUCAUUCUGUCCAAGGCCUCUUUGUUCUUCUCAAGCUCCUCAGGAUUCUGCUCUACCCACGCCAUUAUAUCCGUGAUGUAGUCAGGAGGUAGAGCAGGAAACACAGAAGGGCCAAAGAAGAUGAGCUCUUGAAGCUGGUCGGAUUGAUAGCGCACAUCCAAAUCCAAUCCUGCAGCUUUUCCAACGAUUGCGGUAUUAUCAUCCUUAAGAGCUAGAAUCUCUUCUUCCGCACUCGCCAGCUCACUCUUCAGCCCAGUCGUUUCACUUUGAUGUUGGGCAGCUUGUUUCUUCAGAUCCGCUAUGGUAGCCUCAAGCGAGGCUACGUGCCCUCUCUCGCAAGCUAGCUGGCUCUUCAAAUCUUCAACCUCUUAAGCACGGCCAGCAGUAGCAGCUUUCAGAUCUUUGCGAAGUGCCAAGAUCUUUGCGACAUAAUCAUCAAUUUCCUUCUGCUUGGACUCAAUAGUUUUGUCCUUCUUGGGAAGAAUGUUGUCGCGAAGAUUCUCCAUUCUGGACUUCACAUUCCUCAGUUUAUCCAAGGCUUUCUCGCUCUCCUUGAAUUUCGUGUCGAGCUGGUUGUAUCGUUCUUGAAUCUUUUCGACGUCAUGGAUCGAGUCACCUUGGUAACAAGCAUGUGCCAUAUAACAAGCGACAUUCAUAUGCUUCAGAAGCUCAAUAAUAAAUAUAUGCGUUUACGGACUAAUCUAGUUGUUUUGCAGAGUGUUUUCCUUUUUUGCAGGUAACGAUUCUGUAGUCCGGGUUAGGAUCGGAUUCUGAUAGUGAAUCUGUAGCCUCGACCGGAAUCAGAUUCUAAUAGGGAAUCAGAAGGUUCUGUAUCCGAGGCGAGAAUCGGAUCCUGAUAGUGGAUCUGUAGGCUUGGUCAGAAUCAGACUCUGAUAGUGAGUCGGUCAGCUUCGACGCUUCGACCUUAGUAGACCAGAGGUCAUUUUGACGCUUCGGCCUUAAUGAUCUCGAGGGGGGAGUAUCACAAGCUCUUCCCGACACUUUUGUUGCUUCGGCCAGAAGUCGUCGAACUUGGGGGGGAGUAUCAUAAGCUCUUCCCGACACUUCUGUCGCUUCGGCCAGAAGCUGUCACAUUAUGAGCAUGAUAGAUCUGUUGCUCCGGCCAGAUCAAUCAAGGAUUUAUUGAACAUAGGGAGGAGCAGCCCCGCACGGCAAGGUCAGUAAAUCAAUAAAUAUAUCCUUUAGACUGAUACAGUUGUUUUGCAGGUUAUUUUUGUUUUGCAGGAAUGAUCCUGUCGCUUUGGCCAGGAUCCACGCAUUCUGUCGCUUCGGCCAGAAUCAGACUCUGAUAACGAGUCGGUCCAUUUUGUCGCUUUGGCCUUAAUGGACCAAGAAUUAUUUUGUCGCUUUGGCCUCAAUAAUUCUUCUAUCUUGUCGCUUUGGCCUUGAUAGACUUGGAGAUCAUUUUGACGCUUUGACCUUAAUGAUCUCGACCCACUUUGUCGCUUCGGUCUUGGUGGGGUAACCGUCGUUGCGGACAUAAGUCGCUCUUGAUAGUGAACUAGAUCCUGUCGCUUUGGCCAGGAUCCAUGCAACGUGUAUACGUCAAGAGCCCAAGGCAACACUUGGGAGUGCCGACUCCAAAGGUGUAUCGCCGAUUCCGGCCAGGGGACUCGGGUCUGGUAGACCGAGAACUGGGCCUCAAAGGAAUCGGCGACUCCACCUCUGGAUCGGCGACUCCCACACCUGAGUCGCCGACUCCCAACCGUUACGCGGGCGGGCCCACACCAUUAUGGCACCCUUCAAUAGGAUACCAUAAUGGGGUGGGCCCCACUUAAUUGAAUGGAAACGCCUCUAGGACCCUAUAAAAGGGGUCCUAGGGGUGUCCUCCAUCCAUAUCUUCUUCACUUGACUCACACUCCACACUAGAGCAUCCAGGAGCCCGAAUCGCCUACUCCCAAGUGAGUCGCCGAUUCCCCUCCUCUUCUGCAGGUGUUUGACGUAGAGCGCGCGUCGUGGACUCCACAGCCUCCGGCCCAUCUCGCCACCCCGCGAGCCCACUGGUAGUAGAUUCCGUGCUUCAUCAGACUAUAAACACGUAGUUCCGUUGGCUUGGAACUAGAUUCUGUCGCUUCGGCCAGAAUCAAUCCAUUUUGUCGCUUUGGCCUUAAUGGAUACGGAAUCAUUGCGUCGCUGUGGCCGCAAUGAUUCGAUCUCAUCGCUUUGGCCUUGAUGCGGAUCCCACACACAACCUUGCUUGGGGGGGAUACUGGUGAUACACGCAUAUUUCUUGUGCUCUCUUCAGGGGGAAGUACUGGUGAGACAUGCCUGAUUACGACAAUCACUCCCAGCAACGCCCUUUAAUGAGGACUAGGGUUCCGUCGUUUUACGUCGGACCCCCGGAAGGCUCCCACGGUGCGAAACAAGUUCAUCGUCAAACCACCGAGUUAACCCGUAAAUCGCCGAUUGGACUACCAAAUCACCGACUCUAGAGUCAAAUCGCCGAGUUAGGGCCCAGAUCGGCAGUGAUGAAGCACGAAAUCUGCUACCAGUAGGCUCGCGGGGUUGCGAGGAGGACCGGAGGCUUUGGAGUCCACGACGCACGCUCUACGUCAAUGUACCUGCAGAAGAGGAGGGGAAUCGGCGACUCACGUGGGAGUAGGCGAUUCGGGCUCCUUAAUUGGUUUGCUCUGGUUGGUGUGUGCCAAGUGUGAAUGACCUGAGGGUAGAGGUCCCCCAAGGACCCCUUUUAUAGGGUCCUGGGGGACGUUUCCCCAUUCAUUAGCGUGGGGCCCACCCCAUUAAGGUAUCCUAUUAAGGAGUGCCUUAAUGAUGUGGGCCCGCUCAAGUAACGGCUGGGAGUCGGCGAUUCAGGUGUGGGAGUCGCCGAUCCAGAGGUUCAAUCGCCGACUCCCCAUGAGCCUAGUGGCAGCCUACCAGAACUGUCCACGAGGCCUAGAGUCAGCGAUUCAUCCCUGGAGUCGGCGACUUGGUAGUCCCAAUCGGCGACUCCCAGGUGCUGCCUUGAGUACUUGACGUAGACACUCCUUCCGAAUUCGUGGAACUCUCCGGGGGUCCGGCAUAAAGCGACGGAACCCUAGUUCUUGUCGAAGGGCGUUGCUGGGAGUGACUGACGUGUUCAGGCAUGUCUCACCAGUACUCCCCCCUGAAGAGAGCAUGGCAAAACACCUGUGUAGCCUCAGUCUCCCCCCCCCCCGAGCAAGGUAGUACGUGUAGUCCAUGCACUAUUAGAUGGACUGAUUCACUAUCAGAAUCUAGUCAUUGUGCUCACUGCGACACUAAUGACUCCGCGUGGUCCAUGCACUAUCAGAUGGACUGAUUCACUAUCAGAAUCUAGUUCCAGGCCAACGGAACUACAUGUUUAUAGUCCUACUCUGAUCAAGAGAGACUUUUGCUGUGUGGAUUCUGGCCGAAGCAACAGAAUGCGUGGAUUCACUAUUAGAAUCUGAUUCUGGCCGAAGCAACAGAAUGCGUGGAUUCGUUAUCCGAAUCGGGUUCUGGCCGAAGCGACAAAAGCGACAACAUAAUUCUUAGUCUGAUUCUGGCCGAAGCGACAGAAUCAUGCCUGCAAAACAAAAAACAACCUGCAAAACAACUAUAUCAGUCUAAAGGAUAUAUUUAUUGAUUUACUGACCUUGCCGUACGGAGCUGCCUCUCAUACUGCUCCUCCUUACGCUCAAUAAAUCCUUGAUUGAUAUGUCCGAAGCGACAGAUCUAUCAUGCUCAAAAUAGAACUUACCGUGUGAUCUACCUUUCGUGAUGUCCCUCCUUUGCUCAAUAAAUCCUUGAUUGAUCUGUCCGAAGCGACAGAUCUAUCAUGCUCAAAAACUGUGACAGCUUCUGGCCGAAGCGACAGAAGUGCCGACUCACUAUUAGAGUCUGAUUCUGACCAAGGCUACAGAUCCACUAUCAGAAUCCGAUUCUCGCCUCGGAUACAGAACCUGCUGACUCACUAUCAGAGUCUGACUCACUAUCAGAGUCUGGUUCACUAUUAGAACCUUUCCUGCAAACAAGAAAACAUCCUUUCGUGUGUCCCUCCUUUGCUCAAAUUUGUCCUCGGUAAAUCUGGCCGAAGCGACNNNNNNNNNNNNNNNNNNNNNNNNNNNNNNNNNNNNNNNNNNNNNNNNNNNNNNNNNNNNNNNNNNNNNNNNNNNNNNNNNNNNNNNNNNNNNNNNNNNNUGUGAUACUCCCCCCGAAAUGUGACGACUUCCAUCCUAUAGACAGAAGUGCCGGGAGAGCUUGUGAUACUCCCCCUCGAAAUGUGACGACUUCCAUCCUAUAGACAGAAGUGUCGGGAGAGCUUGUGAAACUCCCCCUCGAAUUGUGACGACUUCCAUCCUAUAGACAGAAGUGUCGGGAGAGAUUGUGAAACUCCCCCUCGAAAUGUGACGACUUCCAUCCUAUAGACAGAAGUGUCCGGAGAGCUUGUGACACUCCCCCUCGAUAUGUGACGACUUCCAUCCUAUAGACAGAAGUGUCGGGAGAGCUUGUGAUACUCCCCCCUGAAAAUUUGACAACUUCUGGUCAAAGUGACGGAAGUGUCGGGAGAGUUUGUGAUACUCCCCCCUGAAAACUUGCACUUGGGGCAGUUUUAGUGUUAUUUUACCCGGAAUCGGCGACUAGAGUUUGUGAUACUCCUAAGUCGGCGAUACCUAUGGUUUGGGUAACUGUAGGGGGUAUUCUUGUUUUUUACCCUUGUGAGUCGGCGACUCCCUCUGUGAGUCGGCGACUCCUAGUGUAACCGUCGGAUUUUUUCGGGAGAUCCUUGGAAUAUUUGGGUGAUAUACGGAGAAUAUAUGCAAAAUCUCCAAAUAAGGAAAGUUUCUCACAAUGCUGUGAGUUUUUGCCCGGAGUCGGCGACUGCCCUGUGGAGUCGGCGACUUGGCGUGAUUUGGGGGAUUUGGAGAUCGAAUCUUGAUCUCAAAUUUCGUAAAUUUUGGAUUUUCUGGGGGGGUUUUGCAAUUUUUCCAAGGCCUAUAAAUAGUGGAGAGGUUUUCCCAAAAACCCUACAACACCUUUUGCCACUUCAAUCGCCUAAACCCCCAGAUUUUUCGAUCGCCGAUUCCCUAGUUUUUCACCUUCGAAUCGUUGAUUGAAACCAUGUCUACCCCCGAUUCCCCUUUGUCCAAAGAUGAAACGUCAGCUUUCAUAGCUGAAAUGAUAACCCCUCUUGUGGUUGGGUUCACUUGUACCUAUCAACUACCUAGGACUCUGCUUUUAGACCCUAACACGUGGUUGAGCUCUGGCCAUGAUGACCGAGCAACUUUUUGGACCCAUAUCUAGGCUGAAGGGGCCAGAUUGGGCUGAAAUUUUGAUCUAUUAAGGCAAUAUCGACAAAAUAGAUUCAUAAUGUGGGGUGCUAGCUAGAGUCGUAGGUAGAUGAUAAAUUUAAAUUUUAUUAAAAGAUGCAAAUUACAACAGUAAGAUUUGUAAUUUUUAAACUAACACAUAGACUAAGAGGCUCUAGCGCGCUUAAUACUAAGCGCGAUGUUGAUGUGCGUUGUCCGUGUGCCAGAUGCAAGGACUUUUGGGUGACAACAUAUUCCUAUUCCUCUUUGUUAUGCUAGCCUUCCUGUUGGUCUACCACCAAAUAGCAUAUGGAUGGUUUUCCGUGGGUGGUCCUCGCUAUUGUCACUGUCUGGUGAGGGAGAGCGCGGGCGCUUCCCAUUCACGUCAGACUUGCAAUUGUUUCGAUCCCGGGAUCCUUUGACCAGGCUGUCAAGUUCACCGUUCGAAAUUAAUUGCUCGACAUAAAGCGAGAAUUCCUUGCAAUAGUCUAUCAGAUGGCCGUGGUCCUUGUGGAAUUCACAGAAUUUUCCACUUUUCUGGCGGCGAUCCUUGGUUGCAGGGUCCAUGGAGCGAGGAGCGGGCAGAUCCGCUCUGUUCCUCAGUUUUUCAAACAGCUCACCUUUGCUGAUGGUUAGUGGGGUCCGGUUCCUCCAAGGUUGAGGUGGACCCCUUGGCCAUCGUUUGACGGAUGUUUGAUACACUUUGUUAUCAUGUUUAGGCUUCCAAUCCUUUCUGAAGGAAUCAGCCGCAUUGCUAGUGUAUCUGUUCGAGGAGUCAUUGUAGCUUUUUCUCUCGAACUUUUGUUUUUUGAAGCUAGUGUUCUCGAGUUCCACUAGCUUGUUUUCAUUCUGCUCUUCCACCUCAAUGAAUGACUGAGCUCGUUGGAAGAGGUCGGGUAAGGUCUCCACUUUGUGGAGCGUGAGAUUCAGGGCCAGAGGGGAGUAGGGUACCAGCCCGUUUGUGUACCCCGCAAUGGCCAAACUUGGGAUUAAGUCACUCACUUCUGUCAUCAUUGAAGUGAACUUAAUCGUGUAAUCCCUUAAAGACAGUUUGUCCUGUCGUAGCGCCAGUAGUGCAUUGGCGUUGUGUUUGAUCCUGAUCAUCCCCACGUGUUGGGCGAUGAAUUUGGAUGCGAGGUCUGCAAAGCUUGAAACUGAUCCGGCUGGUAGACCAGAAAACCAUCGAUAGACAUUGCCCUUAAGAGUGCCGGGGAAUGCUCGACACAGCAGUGCGUUAUCAGUGGUUUGCGGUUCCAGAACGCUGAGGUAGAGGUUGACGUAAUCUUGUGGAUCACUCGAACCAUCGUACGACUCUAUUCUGGGUACCCGCCAGGUUGGUGGAAAGGCCACCUUCAAAAGGUCCUCUUGGAAAGGGGCACUUUUGACUCUUAAGAACUCGAUCGGAUUGCUGAUGACUAGAGUGUCAGCCAGCUUCCGACGGAGGUCCUCUAUGAAUCGUGGUGUAAGAGUCCUAUCAGUGCGACUCUUACUGGGUCCAGCUCUUGAUUUUUCUGGCUCUGGACCUUUCUUUUUCUCCGUAGUUGGAGAAUUGUGAGAAGCUGAUUCACACGCUCUCUUGCGGGUGAUGGUUCUCUGACUCCUUGCUUUUUCAAGGUUGCUAACUCUUCUUUCAAUGUUGUCCAUGAAGUUAACCAACCUUGCUUCUAGAUUAGGAGAGAUGGAUGUCCGAGGGGGCAGAUCAGUUUGGGCAUCCUCGAACCUUUCAACUUGCAUGUUUGGUUGAGGAUGCUCAACUUGUGCCCCAUCGGGUACCACUGAGGAUUUACCCUUGUUUCUCAGAUGGUAAUCGUGGUUUUGCCUUUCAGAUGUCAUAGAUGACAAAAGCGAAUUCCAACCGGAGCGUAGGUAUUAAUUGGACUAACUCAAAAGAAACCCAGUGGAGUCGGCGACUCAGCAGGUGGAGUCGGCGACUGGCCUUAGGUUUUCUUGACUUCCGAGCUGAGCAGAGGCUCGAGAAAAAACCAAGUGGAGUCGGUGAUUCACUAUGGGAGUCGGCGAUUCACAAAGGUGGAAUCGGCGACAGACACUAGUGGAAUCGGUGACUGCUUUUAGGUAGUUUUCCUUCGAGUCUGGCCGUGGACAGCACUCUUAGCUAGCAGAAUAACCCGCAAUCGGCGAUUCACUAGGUGGAAUCGGCGGUUGCCUGUGUGAAUCGGAGAUUCCUUGACACAAAGUCAACGACUCACCCUAAGGGAAUCGAGCUGAUCUUUGCGAAGAAAAUUUCGCGAUUACGACGGGAUAUCGUAGUUCGAUAGUCCCACAGACGGCGCCAGCUGAUGAAGCACGAAAUCUGCUACCAGUAGGCUCGCGGGGUUGCGAGGAGGGCCGGAGGCUUUGGAUUCCACGACGCACGCUCUACGUCAAUGUACCUGCAGAAGAGGAGGGGAAUCGGCGACUCACGUGGGAGUAGGCGAUUCGGGCUCUUUAGUUUGCUCUGGUUGGUGUGUGUCAAGUGUGAAUGACCUGAGGGUAGAGGUCCCCCAAGGACCCCUUUUAUAGGGUCCUGGGGGACGUUUCCCCAUUCAUUAGCGUGGGGCCCACCCCAUUAAGGUAUCCUAUUAAGGAGUGCCUUAAUGACGUGGGCCCGCUCAAGUAACGACUGGGAGUCGGCGAUUCAGGUGUGGGAAUCGCCGAUCCAGAGGUUCAAUCGCCGACUCCCCAUGAGCCUAGUGGCAACCUACCAGAACUGUCCACGAGGCCUAGAGUCAGCGAUUCACCUCUGGAGUCGGCGACUUGGUAGUCCCAAUCGGCGACUCCCAGGUGCUGCCUUGAGUACUUGACGUAGACACUCCUUCCGAAUUCGUGGAACUCUCCGGGGGUCCGGCAUAAAGCGACGGAACCCUAGUUCUUGUCGAAGGGCGUUGCUGGGAGUGACUGACGUGUUCAGGCAUGUCUCACCAAUAGUACUAAAAGACGUAUCCCAAGAUAUCUAAUACGCAAAGGAGGGGGAGUACUGGUGAUAUAGUAUCCCGAACCCGGUCAUAACUUACUAACAAUUAGAAGUCCGGAUAGCCUAAGAUGAGUUGAGGUACCUAUUCUAGGGUUGGGGAGGUCCCAAGUCGAAUCCUAGGAAGAUCGACUUUCCUGAGGAUCGACUUCCCUGGGAUCGACUUCUGAAUAAAGUCGAUCACCAGGAAAGUCGAUCCCCUGAAAGUCGAUCUCUAGAAAGUCGACCUUGGGCCCCGAUCUGAUCAGUUAGGCAGUUAGGUAGUUACUGCCCAAAUGACCAGAUUACCCCCAUAAGAAUCCCUAUAAAUAGGAGGCAUCCCCCACUCAUUAAAGGCAGGUCAUUUGGAGUGGAAGAAGUCCUAGCGAAGCAGAGCUCUGCGCACUUGAGUUCCGGUCCGAUUUCCCGCGGAGUUCCCCGCUUGGCGCUUGCUUGCGCGUCUUGGAGUUCUGGUCGGGUUUCACCCCAUCAUUAUCUAUUAUCUAAUAAAAAACUAAACAAUACUUAAUUAAAAAGAAUCCCUCUUCUAGUUAUCUGGUCAAAAAUAGAGGUUGACUACUUUCCUCAGAUCCCUCAUCCAAUUAUCUGGUCAACUCUCUGAGGUUAAAUUUAUCAGUUAAAUUUCUAUCCAGUCAUCUGGUCAAUCUUCAUUUAUCAAUUAUAUCUUCAGUUAUCUGUUCAACUUAUUCAACUCAUAAAUAUUACUGUUGUUCAACCCUUUUUUUAUUUAAGUGUUUACAGGUCAUUCCGCAUUUAACCUAUGAGAAUCGAAAAGAGACUGUUAACCCCCCUUAUAGUCUCGAAUCACGAUCCGACACAAAUACCUUUUUCCAUCCGUAGAAGAUACAAGAAUAAAAUUUUAUGUGAUGUGGUUAACAUGGAUGCAGCCCAUAUACUAUUGAGAAGACCAUUGCAGUAUGAUAUAAGUGCACACUACAAUGGCAGAACCAAUCAAUAUAUAGUUAAAGUAGAUGAUCUGAAAGUAGCUUUGCUUCCACUCCCACCUGAGGGAAACACAUCUGAGAAGCGUAACUUAUUGAUUUCUGCCAAAAAAGAAUUUAAAACAUUAUUAAGUUUUAAACGGGAAGGAUUAGCAGUAAUUAUGAAGGAGGUGACUACAUCAACUAAAGUCUGCAUUCCAACAUCAGUGGCAGAAUUAUUAAGAGUAUUUCCUAUAGUCAUAGAGGAAAAAAAACAGAACUACCCCCCCCCACAGACUAAUAGAUCAUAGAAUUGAUCUAACACCUUGGUGAGACAUGCCUGAUUACACCAGUCACUACCCAUCAACGCCUCUCAACAAGGACUAGGGCUCCGUCGCUAUGGCAGGACCCCCGGAGAGCUCCCACGGUGCGGAACAUCGUUCUUCGUCCAGAUCGCCGAGUUAGCCCGUAAAGUCGUCGACAUACAGGAUAACUCGCCGAGUUAAGACAAGAUCGGCAAUAUGGUAGACUGUACGUCUUGGCCCUAGAAACUCGCCGAGUUAGCCCUUAACUAAGCGACUUCCAUACCUGAAUCGACGACUUACGACCGUUACUCGGCGGCAGCCAACGUCAUAAAUGUUACCAUAUAUGACCAUAGGCGCGAUCUCCGCCGAUGAGUGCGCCCUCCGAGACCCUAUAAAAGGGGUCUCAAGGGGACACUCAAAGGCACGAUUCAAGUUCCACUCUCACACCAGAGCACUACACUACGAAACUCGGCGAGUCUCAUUAGAAUCGCCUAGUUUCACUUGCAGGUAUUUGACAUAGAGCGUGCGUCGUGGACUCCAAAGCCUCCAGCAUCAACCUCGCACCACCGCGAGCCCUGGUAGCAGAUUCAGUGCUUCAUCAGCUGGCGCCGUAUGUGGGACUACCGAACCACCGGUAUCCCGUCGUAAUCGCGAUUUUUUAAAAAUCCGACUCGAGCUCUCCCGAGAGUUCGCCGAGUUUGUCAAAAAAUCGCCGACAUAGAUCGUCCGAUUCUCGGUUAACGUCCGAUUUAGCCUUAAAUCGCCGACUUAUCCUUGAGAAUCGCCCGAUCCGGAAUAUCGUCUGCUAGCUAAGAGUGCUGUCCGCGACCUUGUUCGGGAAAACACCUAACUCGCCGAGUUAACACUUAACUCUCCGACUUAGCUUCUGUUUUUCCAACAGGCUCAGUCAGGUACCUCUCUGCUUUGGUACUUUUUCGCUUCCGCUUUCAUGGCAAUCAUCGAAAAGCAGAAGCACCCUUACGCAACAAGGAGUAAGGGAAAAAUGCCAGCAACUGAGCUGGAACAAGGUGAGCAAUCCUGACCUAAGGGACCCAAUGCUCAACCUGUGGAACAAACUCGGUUCCUCCUCCUGUCGAGGAACACAUUGUGCCCAAGGCUCCACCCACCUUGGAAGAAAGGUUGUUCAGCUUCAUGGGAAACAUCGAAAGAAGGAUGACUGACCUCGAGCAAGCGAGGAGUCAUAGGACCACCACCAUCCGUGAAAGAGCGGAUGAAUCUGGGUCCAUCUAUUCUCCAUCUGGGGAGAAAAAAUAAGAGUCGCUCCGAGAGGACUCUUACUACUCGGUUCGUAGAGGAUCUUCGGCGGAAGUUGGCCACCGACCCAGCUGUCGGCAACCCGCACGAAGUACUGAGGGUUAAAAGUGCUCCUCUUAGCAAGGACCUUUUAAAGGGAGUUUUCCCACCCAACUGGAGGGUACCAAGAAUCGAGGCAUACGACGGUUCAAGUGAUCCAGAAGAUCACGUGAACCUCUACCUCAACGUCUUGGAACCGCAAACCAUCGAUGAUGGGCUGCUGUGUCGGGCAUUCCCCGACACUCUCAAGGGCAGCGCUUAUCGAUGGUUCUCUGGUCUGCCAGCUGGCUCAGUCACCAGCUUUGCAGACCUCUCAUCCAAAUUUAUCGCCCAACACGUGGGGAUGAUAAGGAUAAAACAUAGUGCCAACGCACUCCUGGCAAUGAGAUAAGACAAACUGUCUCUGAGGGAUUACACGGUCAAGUUCACCACUAUGAUGACAGAGGUGAACGACCUAAUCCCGAGUGUGGCCAUAGCGGGAUAUAUUAGAGGAUUAGUCCCCUACUCCCCUCUGGCCCAAAAUCUGACUCUCUACAAUGUGAGUUCUCUGCCCGACCUCUUCCAACGCGCUCAAUUGUACAUUGAAGUGGAAGAGGAGGAUGAGAACAAGCUAGCUGAACUUGGGACUCCUAGCUACAAAAGGCCUAAGUAUGAGAGGAAGGGGUAUAGCGGAAACAACAAUUUCCGCGACACCUCUAACAGGUAUACCAGUAACAAGGCCGAGCCUUCCAAAAAAGAAUGGAAGCCUAGGCAUGAUAACAAGGUAUACCAGACCUCAACCAGCAAACCGCCUAAGGGUGCAAUUCCACUAUGGAAGAAGAAUACCCCGCUUAUAAUAAGCAAGGGCGAGCUGUUUGAGAAACUAAAGGGUCGAGCGGACCUACCUGUCCCUCGCUCUUUAGACCCUGCUGGCAAAGAGGGCCGCACGCAAUCUGGGAAAUUCUGUAAAUUUCACAACGACUGCGGCCACUUAACAGACCACUGUAAGGAGUUCUUGACUUUCGUCGAGCAGCUGAUCUCUAAGGGUGAACUUGGCAACUUUGUCAAGAAAUCUCGAGGACGGGACAACUGCAAAUCUGACCCAAAGGGGAAGCGUCCACGCUCUCCUUCGCCAGAUAGCGACAACAGCGAGAACCGCCAGCGGAAGACCAUCAAUAUGAUAUUUGGUGGUGGAUCCGUUGGCCAGAAUAGGGGGUACUCCCGAAAGGUGCUGAUGUCACAAUCAGCACCUCGAGACAACGGAAAGCGGGUCCGCGAGGAGAAGUCAAUAUACUUCUUCGAAGAGGACCUGGACGAUGUCUUGCAACCUCAUGAGAAUCCACUCGUGAUCCAAGCAGACAUCGGUCCUAAUUCCCGAGUCGAGAGGAUGAUUGUCGACAGCGGCAGCUCUGCGGAUAUCCUCUACAUGGAUACUUUUACUAAGAUGGGCCUUAAAAGGGAGGAACUAUCUCUCUGUAAGGAAGCCAUCUACGGUUUCACUAACAUCGCCGCCCCAGUGGCCGGUGUUAUUGACCUAAAGGUAUCCAUCGGUUCCAAGCGAAGAAGGGUUAGCCGAACAUGCCGCUUCAUAGUAGUGGAGGUAGAAUCUACUUUCCAUGGCAUUUUCGGACGCCCCUUCAUCCACGGAAUCCAAGCAGUCCCGUCUUCUUAUCACCAAUGCAUUCGAUACCCAGUAAACGGGUUCGUUGCAACUGUCAAAGGAUCACAAAAAGAUUCUAGACAAGGGUAUAAGAAGGCAACCCAGCUGACAAAACUCGACAACAUGCUCGUCCACGCCCCGCCUAACACUGAGGAGAGGGAAAAAUUACAACCUGUGGACGAGACCGAGGUAUACCAGCUGGUGGGGGGACAUGUGGCACUAGGGAAGGGGUUACUCCCUGACCUAAAAGCCAAGCUUGUGACUGUCCUGGAGGAGCACCAGGACAGGUUCGUUUGGGAGGGUGAGGCACCGACACAGAUUGCGCGUCAGAUCGUGACGCACAAACUGAAUGUCGACUCAUCCAUUCCAGCUCGACGCCAAAAACGUCGAGUACUCACUUCUGACAGGCGGGAGGCAGCCAAUGAGGAAAUAUCGAAACUCUUGAAUGCAUGGCACAUUCGGGAAGUUCGAUACCCGACUUGGUUGGCCAACCCCGUUCUGGUCAAGAAGCCCAAUGGCAAAUGGCGCAUGUGCAUUGAUUUCACGGAUCUCAAUAAAGCAUGCCCCAAGGACAGUUACCCGUUGCCAUCCAUCGACGAACUGGUCGAUGGAGCAUCCGGUAACGAGCUCCUCUCUAUGAUGGAUGCCCACUCAGGAUACAAUCAAAUCCUGAUGCAUGAACCUGAUGAGGAAAAAACAUCCUUCAUCACGGACUCAGGGACUUUCUGUUAUAGGGUAAUACCAUUCGGCUUAAGGAAUGCUGGGGCUACAUUUCAGCGCUUAAUGGACAAAGUUUUUGCAAACCAGAUCGGGCGCAACAUUUUCGCUUACGUCGAUGACAUCCUAGUCAAGUCGUCAAGCAUGGAAAAGCACCCUGAUGAUCUGAAAGAAACCCUUGAGACAUUAAAGCAAUAUGGAAUGAAACUCAACCCAGCCAAGUGCGCAUUCGGAAUCAAGGAAGGCAAGUUCCUUGGUUUCUAUGUAGGUCAGCACGGGAUCAAACCUAAUUUCGACAAAAUCCAAGCUAUCCUUGAUAUGGAAGCCCCCCGCAUAAUCCGAGAAGUGCAAAGGUUGAACGGUCGAAUCAAUACGCUCAGUCGUUUCAUAUCGCAAACGGCUGACAAGUGCAAACCGUUCUUCCAAUUGCUAAAAACUGCGGCUAAGGGUAGUAUCACUUGGACACCAGAAUGUGAGGAGGCAUUUGCGAAGUUAAAGGCGCACAUGUCCUCACUCCCAAUGCUGACAUCACCCAAAAAGGGAGAGGACCUGUACUUAUACAUAGCGGCCUCAGAAGAGGCCGUGAGUGCAGUCCUCAUCGCGCAGAGGGACAAGGAUCAGGUCCCUAUCUACUACCACUCGAGGCAACUACAAGGUUCUGAACUGCGAUAUUCUCCCAUCGAGAAGAUCGUAUUCGCAGUAAUCCACGCUUGUCGUCAUUUUCGAGCCUACUUCUUAGCGCACACGAUUGUUGUACUAACAUCGUGUCCUCUACGUCGUCUACUUCACAAACCCGACAUCUCGGGAAGGUUAACCAAAUGGGCAAUUGAACUCAGUGAGUUCGACUUGGACUUCCGACCAGCCACUGCCAUCAAGGGGCAAGUUGUAGCGGAUUUCAUUGUCGAACUCACACAGCCCAGUUUGACACAACCUUGGAUUGUGGAAGUAGACGGCUCGAGUUGCAGCACAGGCUCGGGUAUCGGAGUAAAAAUCCAUAGCCCGGAUGGAAAAAACUACGAACACUCGGUCCGAUUUCACUUCCCAGCUUCUAACAACGUCGCGGAAUAUGAAGCGGCCAUACAUGGCCUGAAGCUGCUAAGAACUCUCGGCGUUAAGAAUGUCACGCUCCGCACUGACUCCCAGCUCGUGGCUCGGCAAACCACUGGUGAAUUUGCUUGUAAGGAACCACAAAUAACAAAGUAUGUGGAAGCAAUGGUAGAUCUCACCAAACAAUUCGCCGAGUUCAAAAUCGAGCAAAUCCCUCGAAUUCAAAAUUUACCCGCUGACGCUUUAGCACGUCUAACGUCAGCUUGGGAGGGAGGACAGCGCGAGAUUUUAGUGGACUCUAUACUGCAGCCCACAUGCCAAGUAUUGGCUGUCACUUCCGACCCUCAAGAGGAUUGGAGGCAACCAAUACUGGCGUUCAUCCAGAAUGGAGUGCUUCCUAGCAACAAAGGGGAGGCCAAAAAAUUAAAACACAGAGCAGCAAAAUACUGUGAUAUCGGAGGGGUACUUUACAAAAAGUCCUUCGAUAGUCCUUUGCUACGUUGUUUGGCCCAACCCGAUACUAGUAGGGUUCUCUAGGAAGUACAUGAAGGCUCAUGCGGACUCCAUGAAGGGGGAAGAGCAUUGGCCUUCAAAAUCAUAAGGCUCGGGUACUAUUGGCCCACCUUAAGGUUGGAAGCUCGCACUUACGUCCGCAAGUGCCGAGCAUGUCAGCUGCACAACCCUAUGCAGCAGAAACCAUCAGCGGAAAUGACUCCAAUUCUGAACUCAAUCCCGUUCGCAAGGUGGGGGUUGGACAUCGUAGGACCAUUCCCCCCCUCAACAUCACAGGCUCGAUUCAUCUUUGUAGCAGUAGACUACUUUACAAAGUGGGUCGAGGCUCAGGCUGUGGCGAAAAUCACUCAGGAUACGGCAGUCAAGUUUAUCUACCGCUCCAUAGUCUGUCGAUUCGGCAUUCCCAAGACAUUGUCACGGACAAUGGCUCACAGUUCACGUGGGGAAAAUUUUCAAGAAUGUGCGAGGACCUAAACAUAAAGCUCCACUUCGCCUCCGUUUACCGACCUCAGGCAAACGGGAAAGUGGAGGUCACCAACAAGGCCAUCGUACAGGGAUUGAAAAAGAAAAUCGAAUCAGCCAAAGGGGCCUGGGCGGACAAGUUGUGCGAAAUCUUAUGGGCAUAUCGCACAACGAGUAAAAACCCCACGGGCAACACCCCUUUUGCCAUGACCUAUGGAGUGGAAGCAGUCGUACCAAUCGAGAUGAGUAUACCAACGUAUCGAGUCUCGAAGUACGACCAAGAAAUAAAUGACCAAAACCUAGCCACAGAGCUAGAGCUAAGGGAUGAAACCCGUGACGAGGCGGACCUGCGAAACGAAUCGUACAAGGCUAGCGUAUCAAGAUACCACAAUCGCCAAGUACGCAAAAAAGUUUUCUUGCCAGGAACUCUCGUCACGCGGAAGGCUAGCAUAACAAAAAGGAAUAAGCCAAGAAAUAAACUAUCUUCCAACUUCGAAGGUUCCUACAUCGUUGAGGAGGAGAUAAGGCCAGGAACUUAUCGCCUACGACGGCAGGAUGGAACAAUGGUUCCUAACACCUGGCAUGCAGACAACAUGCAGCAGUACUACGCAUAGUAUUCACAAGCAUCAAGUUUAUUUUCUUUAGCUUUCCUAGUAUGUAUGUUAGCUAGUUAUAAAAUAUAUUUACGCAUUCUAACCCGUAUGGAUACCCUAAAUCUAUUGUGUCGCUUUGGCCUCAGUAGAACAAAGAUCAUUCCGUCGCUACGGCCCUAAUGAUCCUAUCCAAUCUUGUCGCUAAAAAGCCUUGAUAUGGAUCAACAAGUCCCUCCCUCACUAAGAGUCGGACUAAAUCGUCAGGGGUUCAAAUCCAGGGUUAGAAUAAAUAGGUCCAAUUCAGACACGCAUUGCGACCACAACUCUUAUUCUCACGGGCGAAUCAAGAACUAGUGGAUAUCAAACCACUUUCACCUAUCGAACUUAGCUACGAUUCAUACGACCAAACUUACGUCCUAAGUGGCUAAGAAUCUAACUUACGUCCAAAAGCGACUAAGUUACGAUUGGGAAUCUAACCCCGCGAGCCUACUGGUAGCAGAUUUCGUGCUCCAUCACUAACUUACGUCCAAAAGCGACUAAGUUACGAUUUGUGAAUCUAGUUUAAGUUCAACUAAACCUUCAUCCUAAGUGGCUAAGUAAAGUUGAAAGAAUCUAACUUACGUCCAAAAGCGACUAAGUUACGAUUUAUGAUUCUAGUUUAGAUUCAACUACGAUUCGUACGACUAAACCUAUGUCCUAAGAAUCUAACUUACGUCCAGAGCGACUAAGUUACGAUUUAUGAAUCUAGUUUAACUCUAAAACACAUUAGCAAAAAAGUAAUUUCAUUAACACAAAAAUAAAUUACAUAAUCCACUACAAAAUGUUAGAAGGAAAGCUAUUACAUAGUUUCUAAUCUUCUUCUUUCCUCGCGUUGCGAACAUCACUCUUGAUCUUAUCUAAGGCUUCCUUGUGCUCCAGCUGCACUUCGGGAUGUUCUUCCAGCCACGCCAUAAUGUCUGAAAUGUAGUUGGCAGGCAGAGUGGUAAACACGUGAGGUCCGAAAAAGUUCACGUCUUGGAGUUGAUCGGAUUGACCAUCAACUUCGAACUCCAAGUCCUUCACUUUCUCAGAAGAAGCGUCCAGAGCUUCCUUCAUCUUCUUCAACUUCUCCGUGGAUCGAGAGAAGCGAUCUUCCAAAUCUAUCCGAGCGGAAGCGGAAUCAGAUAGUUCAACUUUCAAUUUCUGAAUCUGUGUUUCAGAAAUCAUUGCAUUCCCCACUUCCACAUCAAGCUGCGUCUUCAGCGCAUCAAUUUCUUUUCGAGCAGCAGCGAGAAGCGACUCAUUAUCUUUCAUAGAGUCACAGCUUCGGCGAAGAUCAGAAAUCUCAGAUCGGUGCGCAGCGCACUCUUUGUUCUUCGCCGCCAUCGCUUUCUCGUGCUCAGCAGCUUGUUCCUCCAACUUCUUGUUCCGUUGGAGGGUCUUCCUCAACGACCACACCUCUUUGCAGAUAGCUUGAUACUUGUCAUCAAGCUUGUUGUACUCCUGUUGAGAACGGAGUGUGUCGUUGGCAGAUUGCAUCCCAAUGGUUGCAUUUGAUAGAUACGCGACCUACAAAACAAAACAAUCAAUUAGUAAAAUAAAACAAAUAUAAGUGAAAAGCGAGUGCGAAUCACUUACAGCAGAUAUAGCUUUUCCAAGCUCUUCGCGUAUCCAGUCCCCAGGCUUAGUCUGAAGCAGUUGGGCAGCCUUCCUCCGCACCCCUUCAUCGGCAAACAAGCCCAGAUAGUCAAAUGUGGUGCGGAAGGGGGCGAAUUCAGGUGCAGACCUCGAGCUAGAUCCAGUCUCGAAGGUUCUGCGGGGGCCAGUCUCUUGGGCCUUCCGUUCUCUGAUCACCUUGGUGCCGCGAAGUCUCACGGCCAAGUGUGGAAGCACCGCCUCUCGGUACAGAUGUGCACCCUUCUUCUUCUUGAUUGGAUUUCCAGAAGGGUCCUCUGACCGCAUGUAGUGUAUCACAUCAGAAAAUGUAAAGUCCUCUCGCUGACACAAAGCGAAAGGAACUCCUUGCCCACAUUCGAAGGAAGCGAGAGCAGAAGAGAUCUUCUUCACCCGCUUCAACUCAGCCUUGCUCAGGGCGCAAGGAACAUCCAGGUGUACGCGGCGAGCGUUGGCCCACCUCUCGCGGCUCCCGCGUACAAAUGUAGAUUCAACAAAAAAGAACUCACUCUUCCACUGGGGCCCAUAGUUAGUGGGGAGUUCUAUUAUCAGCUCUCGUCCGCUGAACCGCUUUGCUAGCCCCAAUCGACCAGAUUCGGAAGCGGGCGCCUUCACAAACUUGAAAAACCAAAAGAAUAAGGCGGCGGUACUGGGUAUAUUCAGACUCCAACAGAUGUUGGAGAACCCUCUCAAAUAUACAAAGAAAGCUGCCUGCAUCUGCGACAGCGACACCCCACCAUGCAGCAACACUUCGCUCAUCAGUGGAGGAAUGGGCAGCAUUGAGAAGUGUCUGAAGUAUAGGCGGGGAAUAGCUUGGAACCCAGCUGGAGACAGAUUCGCUGGCUGAUAUUGCGAUCCACAGAAUCGCAGGUGCCCAGAAAUGCGAAUCCCGCGUAGAAUCUCAUGGGCUUCAAGCGCAGAAGUUAUUGAAAAUGGAUGCGCAGUCUCGUUCUGAGGCACGAGAGGCGCAUUGACAGAAACUUCUUCGAAAGACCCCUCGUCAGUAUCACAGAGGGGCAACAUCCUGAUCUCACCACCCGGCAGAGCUUCACAGUGUGCGUAGCCGGUGUGGUUCUCAACUCCCUCGUAAAAUGGGAGGUUUAUAUGGUCUCCAUCCUUGUCCAUUUCCAUAGGAGGAGGAGGAGUGUUCGAUCUAUCAUCGCGGCUUCGGCCCGGGCCGCGUUCAACUGGUAUGUCCUG
This 34583-nucleotide long non-coding RNA is filed under the name Zostera marina. RNAcentral describes it as "long non-coding RNA (ZMAR_LNC005416)". Lineage: Eukaryota; Viridiplantae; Streptophyta; Magnoliopsida; Alismatales; Zosteraceae. The record is from RNAcentral.